UUUUACUAUAUGUAUUCAAAAUUCUCAAUUCCAUUAUGUAAAUGAGAGGAAAAAAGAGCCAUGCAAAGAGAGGAUCAAAGAUCCUUCAAAGAAAAAAAAAGGAAAAAAGGAGAGAAAGAAACUGCAUCAAAAGAAAAAAAAAAGGAUGAGACACCAAGCAGACCCAUAAUAAUUCCCUAUAAGAACUUGUAGAAAAGAAAAUGCCUCUAUGCAAGCCCAUCAACUUCCUGAUUAGCUGAUUCUGGUCUCCAACUCAAAGAUGCAUCCAUGCUACCAAAUAUCCCAAAUCUCUCUCCUCCAAUGAUAAGCAAGGCCAAGGGUGUCUGCUCAAAGCUGCUCAAUUUAAAAUGACCAAGUCAUGAUCAAAGAGACUGGUAAAAUGCCUCAACAUGGGCUUUCCUAAAGCCUCCCAGUACAAUAAAAUCUCCACUUCAACUGAUCUUAAAAGGACUGGAUUCACUUCUAUGGGUUUGCAGUUGCCAGUAGUUCAUCUUUGACCCAUCAGACCCAGGAUGUUCAGUGGGCGGAUAUUGAAGUCAAGAUUAAUGCAGACAAAGGAAGUUGACCAACAUGAAAAAUAGCUUUCUAAUGUAAUGGAGUAACUAUAUUAGUAUUUCAUCCACAUCUCACAACUUGUGCUUAUUUUUAUCACAUAAUAACAGAAUAGGUUCUGCUCCCUCAAGAAUCUCCAUAACCAUUUAUCAAUAAGGGUUCUAUUCAUCAAGGCUCAUACGACCCAAACUCAACUCCCCAGACCAACAAACUACAUCCAUCUAAUUAAAUGGUUUCUGACAGAUUCUCCAUACCCAUAGAAAAGAAAAUAUAUUUAGAUUUUCACAAAAAGCAGCUGCAUUGACUGGAUUUCAGAAAGGGACAUGAAGUAGGUGGGAAUAUUGGUAAGACAAGACUAGAUCCAAGUAAUUCCAACUGCCUGGUAACAGAAAGCUUUCUUGACCAUCAAGCCACUUGGCCACCUUCACAACAACUGGAUUCCAAAAGUUUAGAGCUCAAUGAUAACCCCCAAGAAGAAGACCAAGAUAUUAGAGUGGCAACUCAUUAGUUCAUAACCUACUCCCACGGCUACCUAGAAGGUUCUUCAUAUUGCACAUUGAUCCUUAUCAAGGAACUAUUACAGGUGUUAAUUUUGUGGCCUGAAACCAUUCUGAAUGCCUGAAAAAUAAGCUUAAUAUUGAACACCUUAUUUUCUUCAGUAGAGUAAAUUAUUUUGUCAUAAGAAAAAUGGUGUGACAAAUUUGAACGAGCUUCCCUUGCUUCGAAAUCUUCCUUACACAAGACCUUUUUCCCUUUUCUUUUCUUUUCUUUUCUUUUCUGUGUGUGUGAGAGAGAGAGAGAGAGUGAUAAACUUUUUUAGAUAAAAACCUCCCAUGACUCCACCCUAAUCCCCUACCACUUGAGUUAGGCCUCAAGGAUUCCUUCCACAAGGCUUAAUUCCAUUAUGAUUCUACCUUCAUUUAUACUGAUUAUAGUCUCUAGCUUCCAAAGUCCAACGCAGAUUGGAAAAAUUCAAUACAAAUUUAAUCUCGGAAAGCCCACAGUAUUCUUAAUUAUGAAAAGGAACAAAACUAAAAAAAAUGAUCUUUUCAGCAGUUCUCCACAAGAACUGCCACACAAUGAGUGCAUGGAUUAUGAAAUCAAGGAUCUCUGCACAUAUAUCACAGUUCAUAUUCUUUAUAUAUACAAGAUUUUAUUCAGAAAACAAGAAACAACAAUAAAAAGGGGCAACCAAUCCCCCCAACCAUGACAGCAUAAAAGGCAGGAUCUAGAACAUUCCAAAAAAGAAUCAAACCAAGACCUCAAUUAGUAAGACACAAAUCAAAUGCUUCUUCCUAGUAACAGUUUUCAUUUCUCCCCUUCCAUAUUCCCCAAACCAGAGCAAAAGGAGUGAGCUGUCAAGUUAUAAGGACUCUUUAGUCUUUUAAGGCCAAAAGGUGCAAACCCCGAAAAAUAUCACCCAACAUAC
Molecule: long non-coding RNA, 1981 nt
Filed under: Vitis vinifera (wine grape)
Lineage: Eukaryota; Viridiplantae; Streptophyta; Magnoliopsida; Vitales; Vitaceae
Description: long non-coding RNA (VVIN_LNC005293)
Source: RNAcentral